Molecule: long non-coding RNA, 226 nt
Organism: Maniola jurtina (meadow brown)
Lineage: Eukaryota; Metazoa; Arthropoda; Insecta; Lepidoptera; Nymphalidae
Exons: 3
Source: RefSeq, a predicted model, not a curated record
CUUCAUAAGGCUGAUUGGGCUCAUCAAGCAGCCACAUUAUAUGGCCAGAGUCGCAUCCGGUCGCCGGCACGAGCCUGGCGAUACCGGCGAGGCUUGCGGUCUCUGAUAAACGAUGAGGUCUCGAAUGCCGAUCAAACGGCUCGUGGAACAGCUUCCCAGUGUUAUUCAGUGGUCACUGGGACUGGGUUCCAGAUUUGGAGUUCUUGGGUGAUAACUUUAACAAAAC